RNAcentral lists this ribosomal RNA (602 nucleotides) under Kamptonema animale NTLRM4. RNAcentral's name for it is "bacterial SSU rRNA". It matches the Rfam family "Bacterial small subunit ribosomal RNA", at positions 161 to 795 of the family's 1533-position model. The record is from RNAcentral. Lineage: Bacteria; Bacillati; Cyanobacteriota; Cyanophyceae; Oscillatoriales; Microcoleaceae.
GGCUAAUACCGGAUGAGCCGAAAGGUAAAAGAUUUAUCGCCCUUCGAGGAGCUCGCGUCCGAUUAGCUAGUUGGUGAGGUAAAAGCUCACCAAGGCAGCGAUCGGUAGCUGGUCUGAGAGGAUGAGCAGCCACACUGGGACUGAGACACGGCCCAGACUCCUACGGGAGGCAGCAGUGGGGAAUUUUCCGCAAUGGGCGCAAGCCUGACGGAGCAAUACCGCGUGAGGGAGGAAGGCUCUUGGGUUGUAAACCUCUUUUCUCAGGGAAGAAGUUCUGACGGUACCUGAGGAAUAAGCAUCGGCUAACUCCGUGCCAGCAGCCGCGGUAAUACGGAGGAUGCAAGCGUUAUCCGGAAUUAUUGGGCGUAAAGCGUCCGCAGGUGGCAUUUCCAGUCUGCUGUCAAAGACCAAGGCUCAACCUUGGGCAGGCAGUGGAAACUGAAAAGCUAGAGUGCGGUAGGGGUAGGGGGAAUUCCCAGUGUAGCGGUGAAAUGCGUAGAGAUUGGGAAGAACACCGGUGGCGAAAGCGCCCUACUAGGCCGCAACUGACACUCAGGGACGAAAGCUAGGGUAGCGAAAGGGAUUAGAUACCCCCAGUAGUC